UAGGGAAUCUUCCGCAAUGGACGCAAGUCUGACGGAGCAACGCCGCGUGAGUGAAGAAGGAUUUCGGUUCGUAAAACUCUGUUGUUAGAGAAGAACAGCGCAUAGAGUAACUGUUAUGCGUGUGACGGUAUCUAACCAGAAAGCCACGGCUAACUACGUGCCAGCAGCCGCGGUAAUACGUAGGUGGCAAGCGUUGUCCGGAUUUAUUGGGCGUAAAGCGAGCGCAGGCGGUCAAUUAAGUCUGAUGUGAAAGCCCCCGGCUCAACCGGGGAGGGUCAUUGGAAACUGGUUGACUUGAGUGCAGAAGAGGAGAGUGUAAUUCCAUGUGUAGCGGUGAAAUGCGUAGAUAUAUGGAGGAACACCAGUGGCAAAGGCGACUCUCUGGUCUGUAACUGACGCUGAGGUUCGAAAGCGUGGGUAGCAAACAGG
This 429-nucleotide ribosomal RNA is filed under the name Bacteroidota bacterium. RNAcentral's name for it is "Bacteroidetes bacterium partial 16S ribosomal RNA". It matches the Rfam family "Bacterial small subunit ribosomal RNA", at positions 355 to 776 of the family's 1533-position model. Lineage: Bacteria; Pseudomonadati; Bacteroidota. The record is from RNAcentral.